Molecule: ribosomal RNA, 351 nt
Filed under: uncultured bacterium
Lineage: Bacteria
Description: partial 16S ribosomal RNA
Rfam family: Bacterial small subunit ribosomal RNA
Source: RNAcentral
CCUACGGGUGGCAGCAGUGGGGAAUAUUGCGCAAUGGGCGAAAGCCUGACGCAGCGACGCCGCGUGAGGGAUGAAGGUCUUCGGAUCGUAAACCUCUGUCAGCAGGGAAGAACGGUCACGGUGCUAAGCAGCAGUGAAUUGACGGUACCUGCAAAGGAAGCACCGGCGAACUCCGUGCCAGCAGCCGCGGUAAUACGGAGGGUGCGAGCGUUAAUCGGAAUUACUGGGCGUAAAGCGCGCGGAGGCGGUAUGUCAAGUCAAGGGUGAAAUCCCCGCGCUCAACGUGGGAACUGCCUUUGAAACUGGCACCCUGGCGUGUGUUAGAGGCUAGUUGCAUUCCAUGUGUAGGCG